AAUAUGGGACAAUGGGCGAAAGCCUGAUCCAGCCAUGCCGCGUGUGGGAAGAAGGUCNNNGGUUUNUCAAGCACUUUUGGCGGNGAGNAAGGGCAGUAAGCUAAUACGUGGAUGUUUUGACGUUACCGACAGAAUAAGCACCGGCUAACUCUGUGCCAGCAGCCGAGGUAAUACAGAGGGUGCAAGCGUUAAUCGGAAUUAAUGGGCGUAAAGCGCGCGUAGGGGGUUUGUUAAGUUGGAAGUGAAAGCCCCGGGCUAAACCUGGGAAAUGCUUUUAAAACUGGCAAGCUAGGGUAUGGCAGGGGGUGGUGGAAUUUCCUGGUUAGCGGUGAAAUGGGUAGAUAUAGGAAGGAACACCAGUGGGGAAGGCGACCCCCUGGGCUAAUACGGACACUGAAGUGCGAAAGCGUGGGGAGCAAAC
RNAcentral lists this ribosomal RNA (421 nucleotides) under uncultured bacterium. RNAcentral describes it as "partial 16S ribosomal RNA". It matches the Rfam family "Bacterial small subunit ribosomal RNA", at positions 360 to 773 of the family's 1533-position model. The record is from RNAcentral.